CUUGUAUAUUUAUUUUAGGUUAUUUUUGGUAAUGCCUUCACACCACCAUUUUGCAUGCUGUUUUCUGUUGUCACUGCCAGGUCAUUUAUGAAAACUAUGCCUUUUGUUGGUUAUGUGCUUUGAACAUUCAUUACAUGUGACAUUAUCAUAUCUUUGAUAUUUUAGAUGGUGGUGUGCUUCACAGGGAUUUCAAACUUUUGUCAUAAAGAAAAAAACUCUUGCUAAAAAAGAAAAAUAAUGAUCAAUUUAACAUGUACAGUGAGAUUUUGAACUUGUUUUAAUUUCUUUACUUCGGUUUUUAGUUGUGCUUUGGACAUUUUAGUUUCUGAGUUUUUGAAUUUAGAAGCCUUGACCAUGCUUCUCGAGUUUGGGGUAAGGCUCACUGUGAUGCUAGACACCAAGAAGUCAAAAUACAAAAGCCAAAAGAGAAAUCAAAUAACAAAGCAAAAAAUAAAAAUAAA
This is a long non-coding RNA of Erpetoichthys calabaricus (reedfish), 461 nucleotides long. RefSeq lists it as uncharacterized. The record is from RefSeq and is a predicted model, not a curated record. The transcript is spliced from 2 exons. NCBI's taxonomy places the organism in Eukaryota, Metazoa, Chordata, Cladistia, Polypteriformes, Polypteridae.